This 823-nucleotide ribosomal RNA is filed under the name Ramaria conjunctipes var. sparsiramosa. Its description in RNAcentral is "eukaryotic LSU rRNA". The stretch from base 258 to 412 matches the Rfam family "5.8S ribosomal RNA". Lineage: Eukaryota; Fungi; Basidiomycota; Agaricomycetes; Gomphales; Gomphaceae. The record is from RNAcentral.
CAAACUUGGUCAUUUAGAGGAAGUAAAAGUCGUAACAAGGUUUCCGUAGGUGAACCUGCGGAAGGAUCAUUAUUGUAAUAGGCUUGGGAGGUUAGAUGCUGGCCCGUGAAGGGCACGUGCGCGCCUCCCUCCCUCUCGUCCCUUUACACACCCCUGGUUGGGGAUGUCUCCCUCGGAGGCGUUCCCUUCCACCCUAUACCACAUCCUGUCCAAUCGCAUGUCUUUGAACGCUCUACGGAGCGGGUAACAUUUUGUACAACUUUCAACAACGGAUCUCUUGGCUUUCGCAUCGAUGAAGAACGCCGCGAAAGCGCGAAACGUAAUGUGAAUUGCAGAAUUCAGUGAAUCAUCGAAUCUUUGAACGCAUCUUGCGCUCCUUGGUAUUCCGAGGAGCAUGCCUGUUUGAGUGUCGUGAAGUCACUCGACCCCCCCUUUCCCUUAUGGGAGAGUGAGGGGUUGGAUUUUGGACGCUUGCCGGUUGGUCCAAUGAGGCCGCGGCUCGUCUUUAAACGCAUCAGCUGGCCCUUUCGAGUCGGUGUAACGACGGUGUGAUAAUAAACGCUUUGUUGACUGCAGCGCCGUCUGGCCGAUUUGGAUUAGGGUUGCUUAUAGUUGUCUUCGGACAGUGCCUUUCAUGUCGUCUGACCUCAAAUCAGGUAGGACUACCCGCUGAACUUAAGCAUAUCAAUAAGCGGAGGAAAAGAAACUAACGAGGAUUCCCCUAGUAACGGCGAGUGAAGCGGGAAGAGCUCAAAUUUGUAAUCUGGCGGUCUCUGGCCGUCCGAGUUGUAGUCUGGAGAAGCGUUUUCCGCGUCGGACCGUG